AUUGAACGCUGGCGGCAUGCCUUACACAUGCAAGUCGAACGGUAACGGGUCCUUCGGGAUGCCGACGAGUGGCGAACGGGUGAGUAAUAUAUCGGAACGUGCCCAGUAGUGGGGGAUAACUGCUCGAAAGAGCAGCUAAUACCGCAUACGACCUGAGGGUGAAAGGGGGGGAUCGCAAGACCUCUCGCUAUUGGAGCGGCCGAUAUCAGAUUAGCUAGUUGGUGGGGUAAAGGCCUACCAAGGCAACGAUCUGUAGUUGGUCUGAGAGGACGACCAGCCACACUGGGACUGAGACACGGCUCAGACUCCUACGGGAGGCAGCAGGGGGGAAUUUUGGACAAUGGGCGCAAGCCUGAUCCAGCAAUGCCGCGUGCAGGAAGAAGGCCUUCGGGUUGUAAACUGCUUUUGUCAGGGAAGAAAUCUUCUGGGCUAAUACCCCGGGAGGAUGACGGUACCUGAAGAAUAAGCACCGGCUAACUACGUGCCAGCAGCCGCGGUAAUACGUAGGGUGCGAGCGUUAAUCGGAAUUACUGGGCGUAAAGCGUGCGCAGGCGGCUUUGCAAGACAGAUGUGAAAUCCCCGGGCUCAACCUGGGAACUGCAUUUGUGACUGCAAGGCUAGAGUACGGCAGAGGGGGAUGGAAUUCCGCGUGUAGCAGUGAAAUGCGUAGAUAUGCGGAGGAACACCAAUGGCGAAGGCAAUCCCCUGGGCCUGUACUGACGCUCAUGCACGAAAGCGUGGGGAGCAAACAGGAUUAGAUACCCUGGUAGUCCACGCCCUAAACGAUGUCAACUGGUUGUUGGACGGCUUGCUGUUCAGUAACGAAGCUAACGCGUGAAGUUGACCGCCUGGGGAGUACGGCCGCAAGGUUGAAACCCAAAGGAAUUGACGGGGACCCGCACAAGCGGUGGAUGAUGUGGUUUAAUUCGAUGCAACGCGAAAAACCUUACCUACCCUUGACAUGUCAAGAAUUCUGCAGAGAUGUGGAAGUGCUCGAAAGAGAACUUGAACACAGGUGCUGCAUGGCCGUCGUCAGCUCGUGUCGUGAGAUGUUGGGUUAAGUCCCGCAACGAGCGCAACCCUUGUCAUUAGUUGCUACGCAAGAGCACUCUAAUGAGACUGCCGGUGACAAACCGGAGGAAGGUGGGGAUGACGUCAGGUCCUCAUGGCCCUUAUGGGUAGGGCUACACACGUCAUACAAUGGCCGGUACAGAGGGCUGCCAACCCGCGAGGGGGAGCCAAUCCCAGAAAACCGGUCGUAGUCCGGAUCGUAGUCUGCAACUCGACUGCGUGAAGUCGGAAUCGCUAGUAAUCGCGGAUCAGCUUGCCGCGGUGAAUACGUUCCCGGGUCU
Molecule: ribosomal RNA, 1352 nt
Filed under: uncultured bacterium
Lineage: Bacteria
Description: bacterial SSU rRNA
Rfam family: Bacterial small subunit ribosomal RNA
Source: RNAcentral